Molecule: non-coding RNA, 138 nt
Organism: Ornithorhynchus anatinus (platypus)
Lineage: Eukaryota; Metazoa; Chordata; Mammalia; Monotremata; Ornithorhynchidae
Source: Rfam
CCCCUCUCAGCAUCACACCUGGAGAGUUUCCUUUACUCCGCCAGUCUCGACCAUGGGAGGGAGAGUCAAGCAGAGGCCUGUCCAUUCCAUUCCUAGCUUGGGUAGUGGCUAGUGAGUGGAAGGCAAUCUGCUACAAGU